Long non-coding RNA from Chanos chanos (milkfish), 402 nucleotides. RefSeq lists it as uncharacterized. The transcript is spliced from 3 exons. The record is from RefSeq and is a predicted model, not a curated record. Lineage: Eukaryota; Metazoa; Chordata; Actinopteri; Gonorynchiformes; Chanidae.
AUUGGAGGGUACCAGAACCUGGAGAGAUCUUGCUUGGUAAAGAAUAAAGGGACGCCCAAACGGGUGAAGGUAUGCUUUGAUGAGGAGCAGUUGGAGCGAGUGUGUGAGUACCCAUCUGAGAGUUCGAUGCUGGCCUCCCUCCCUCCCUCUCCCCUGCCAGUCCCAGAGCAAGUGAGGGCUGAGAAGGGGAGGGGGGAGGUGGAGGAGGAAGAUGAGGAUGAGGAAGAAAAAGGAGUGUUUAUGUCCAAGAACAACAAGAGUUUGGGAACAGGACGAGUGCUGAGAGUGGAUGAAUCCUGUCGGCGGUAGGUGGAGCUUACCUCGUCCCGGCCAUCUACGGACAGAUUUUAGGAUUUAAACAUUUGAUUUUUAAGAUAGUUAUAUUGGAUAAUAAACUGUUUG